RNAcentral lists this ribosomal RNA (471 nucleotides) under uncultured bacterium. RNAcentral's name for it is "partial 16S ribosomal RNA". It matches the Rfam family "Bacterial small subunit ribosomal RNA", at positions 28 to 506 of the family's 1533-position model. The record is from RNAcentral.
GACGAACGCUGGCGGCGUGCUUAACACAUGCAAGUCGAACGCUGAAGCUUGGUGCUUGCACUGGGUGGAUGAGUGGCGAACGGGUGAGUAAUACGUGAGUAACCUGCCCUUGACUCUGGGAUAAGCCUGGGAAACUGGGUCUAAUACUGGAUACGACAUGUCACCGCAUGGUGGUGUGUGGAAAGGGUUUUACUGGUUUUGGGUGGGCGCACGGCCUAUCAGCUUGUUGGUGGGGUAAUGGCUCACCAAGGCGACGACGGGUAGCCGGCCUGAGAGGGUGACCGGGCACACUGGGACUGAGGCACGGCCCAGACGCCUACGGGAGGCAGGAGUGGGGAAUAGUGCACAAUGGGCCGAAGCCUGGAGGAGGGACGCCGCGUGAGGGAGGACGGCCUUCGGGUUGGAAACCUCUUUCAGCACGGAAGAAGCGAAAGUGACGGUACGUGCAGAAGAAGCGCCGGCUAACUACGU